GACGAACGCUGGCGGCGUGCUUAACACAUGCAAGUCGAGCGGUAAGGCCCUUUCGGGGGUACACGAGCGGCGAACGGGUGAGUAACACGUGGGUGACCUGCCCUCAGCUCUGGGAUAAGCCUGGGAAACCGGGUCUAAUACCGGAUAUGACUCCAUGACGCAUGUUGUGGGGUGGAAAGCCUUGUGCGGCUGAGGAUGGGCCCGCGGCCUAUCAGCUUGUUGGUGGGGUGANGGCCUACCGAGGCGACGACGGGUAGCCGGCCUGAGAGGGCGACCGGCCACACUGGGACUGAGACACGGCCCAGACUCCUACGGGAGGCAGCAGUGGGGAAUCUUGCGCAAGUGGGACGAAAGCCUGACGCAGCGACGCCGCGUGAGGGAUGACGGCCU
This 390-nucleotide ribosomal RNA is filed under the name uncultured bacterium. RNAcentral's name for it is "bacterial SSU rRNA". It matches the Rfam family "Bacterial small subunit ribosomal RNA", at positions 28 to 417 of the family's 1533-position model. The record is from RNAcentral.